Molecule: long non-coding RNA, 850 nt
Organism: Equus caballus (horse)
Lineage: Eukaryota; Metazoa; Chordata; Mammalia; Perissodactyla; Equidae
Source: RefSeq, a predicted model, not a curated record
CAGUCUCCAGAGAGGUCUCAUCUUUCACCAAGAUGCACCCAGAGCCUAUCAGAAUAAUUCACAAAGGAGAAAGACACCAAUGUCCAGCCCAGCUUUGACCACUGGAGAUUAUAUAACCUGUUGUCCAUGUCACACACCAUUGGGUUUUGGCAUCAGUGCAAAGAAUUAGCUGCAUCUCCAGUGAGAUAAACCUUUUAAUCUAUAUAGAGAGCGAGAAUAUUUUGGGCCACAGCUUUAUAGGCUCUGGUGCUUUGGACCUACAAAUAAAUCACUCACAAGAUAGAAAAUUUGGCAGAAAAUUUUGGACUCUAAAAUAGCCUGCAAACUAUUUAAUUUUAAAAAUUCAAUAAUUGCUAUCAAACACAUAUGAUGAAGAUGAACGGAUCUCCUGCAGUUUUCACAGUUUGGCACAGCAGAGAAUACCUGAAAGACAAGGUCACCAGAGCUGGGACUGCGUUUAUGCUUUUGAAUCUACGUCUUUCAUAAAGAAAAUAUCUUCACUCAGAAUUGAAACAUACACUGAUAAAGAAGAAUCAACAUCUAAUAAAGUAUUGCUUCUGACUCUGAACAAUUCAUAGAAAUGCUUAAUGAAAAUCAAUGCCAAAAAAUGCAUGUCACAUUACUUACUGCAGGAAAAUUGCUUCAUUAUAUAAUUACAUUCUUUUUUACAUUCAGUAUUUUUAUUUAAUGUUUAUUAUUAUUUGUCACCUUGUUUCAGCCUUGGCAUACACAUUCUCACUGUGAAAGCAACCAGUGAGUUAUUUGUUGUUAUUUUGUUCUGAUCAUAAAUAUACAUACUACAGCUUUUAUAAUAAAAAUUAUAACUACGUUUUGCAUGUGAGCAUGAAAA